RNAcentral lists this ribosomal RNA (647 nucleotides) under uncultured bacterium. Its description in RNAcentral is "bacterial SSU rRNA". It matches the Rfam family "Bacterial small subunit ribosomal RNA", at positions 110 to 753 of the family's 1533-position model. The record is from RNAcentral.
GUAAUACAUCGGAACGUACCCAGUAGCGGGGGAUAGCCCGGCGAAAGCCGGAUUAAUACCGCAUACGCCCUACGGGGGAAAGGGGGGGAUCUUCGGACCUCUCACUAUUGGAGCGGCCGAUGGCUGAUUAGCUAGUUGGUGGGGUAAAGGCCUACCAAGGCGACGAUCAGUAGCUGGUCUGAGAGGACGACCAGCCACACUGGGACUGAGACACGGCCCAGACUCCUACGGGAGGCAGCAGUGGGGAAUUUUGGACAAUGGGCGAAAGCCUGAUCCAGCAAUGCCGCGUGUGCGAAGAAGGCCUUCGGGUUGUAAAGCACUUUUGUCAGGAAAGAAAGGGUCUGGGCUAAUACCCCGGGCCAUUGACGGUACCUGAAGAAUAAGCACCGGCUAACUACGUGCCAGCAGCCGCGGUAAUACGUAGGGUGCAAGCGUUAAUCGGAAUUACUGGGCGUAAAGCGUGCGCAGGUGGUUUGUUAAGACAGUUGUGAAAUCUCCGGGCUCAACCUGGGAACUGCAAUUGUGACUGGCAGACUAGAGUUUGGCAGAGGGGGGUGGAAUUCCUGGUGUAGCAGUGAAAUGCGUAGAUAUCAGGAGGAACACCGAUGGCGAAGGCAGCCCCCUGGGCCAUGACUGACACUCAUGCA